Molecule: transfer RNA, 68 nt
Filed under: Rhizobacter gummiphilus
Lineage: Bacteria; Pseudomonadati; Pseudomonadota; Betaproteobacteria; Burkholderiales; Sphaerotilaceae
Also listed under: 1 other name
Description: tRNA-Phe
Rfam family: tRNA (bases 5-64)
About the family: Transfer RNA (tRNA) molecules are approximately 80 nucleotides in length. Their secondary structure includes four short double-helical elements and three loops (D, anti-codon, and T loops).
Source: RNAcentral
GUUCUGUAGCUCAGACGGUAGAGCAGCCUCCAAAAGAGGUCGGUCGCGGGUUCGACUCCCGCCGAACA